Molecule: long non-coding RNA, 1845 nt
Filed under: Heterocephalus glaber (naked mole-rat)
Lineage: Eukaryota; Metazoa; Chordata; Mammalia; Rodentia; Bathyergidae
Description: lncRNA (ENSHGLG00100047094.1)
Source: RNAcentral
AGCCCGUGGCUCGGGCCUGCAGCCGGGCCCAGCACGAGCAAGGCCUGGGUGCCAGCAGCAGGGCCACGCUGCAGCAGGAGGACAGCAAGGCAAAGCAAAAAGGCACCUGUAAUCCCUGCGCUCUGGGAGGCUGAGGCAGGAGGACCACAAGUUCAGCCUGGGUGACUCAGCGAGGCCUUGUCCCCAAACCCAGGCCCCGGGAGCCCCUCUCCGCUCCUCCCAGGCUCCCGCGCCUACGCACUCAGAGGGCGCACCACGUGGUCGCCCGUGUCCCCGGAUCCUCCUGGACACGCAGCAGGGCCCGUCCUGAAGGGGAGCAAGUUCCCAGGAGGGGCUCACUGUGUAGCCCAGGCUGGCCUCGAACUCCCAUCGAUCCUCCUGCCUCAGCCUCCCCAGAUGCUGGGACUACAGGCGGGCACCAGCAGGCCCCAAGCUUUAGGGACGUUUUCCCGGACUUGGUUGCAGAAACAAAUUCCUUAAAUUCCUCAGGGCAAUUCCAUCCUCCAGCCAGCGAUCUUCCUCGGUGGAAAGAGUGAAGUCACAGCCCACGUUUGGUCUUGCUAUGCAUUCUAGGCUGGCCUGAAACUCAGAGCGAUCCUCUUGCUUCAGCCUCCCGAGUGCUGGGAUUACAGGCGUGCCCACCAUUCCCAUCUUCUGGCCAGAUUCUUUUCAAAUAAAUCCCUGCCCUGCUGAGGUCAUGAAGACGCUGACUGGCUCAGGAAUUCCCCGAGACUUCUCCUAGCACACUUGUGGGUCCCACUCUGAGAGUCCCCAUUACUCAUCGCUGAUCUCCACCCUGCUGGGGGCCGAGUUGGUAGUUUUGUUUUUUCUUUUGGUACCGGGGAUCGAGCUCCGGACCUUGCUCUUGCAAGGCAGGCAGGCGGCAGCACCACUGAGCUAAAUCCCCGGUCCUUUGGUUGCAGUUUUAAGCCCAGUGCGGACACCACUGUGCACUCGGGAUCUUGGGCUGCAGUUUUUGUGGGGGAUUUUUAGGCAGAAUAUUUAUUGGUACGCUUUUUCUUUUAUUUCUUUUUUGGUACCAGGGAUUGAACUCGGGCUCUUGCGCUUGCGCAGCAGGCAGCAAAACCACUGAGCUAAAUCCCCGGCCCUGUUGGUACGUUUUAGAUACAGACUUAGGAACUCGAUUCAUUCCUGAGGGCUGGUUGUAACUCAGUUUGGUCAGUGAAGGUUCAGGCUCCUCCACACAGCCUUCAGACUCUCUUCUGUACACAGGCACAUCUCGGUGUCCUUAGAGAGAUUUGGCCCAAGAUUUCUCAGUUAACCCACACAGGAAAGGAUGCUGUCGUGCUCCUUCCGGAACUCUGUAAGGGUUAAAUCUGUCUGAGACCAUCCAGAAGCACAAGUGGCCGCCAUUCGGCACUAACCCUAAGUUAAAACUAAAGUUCUGGUCAUAACCCAAGUUCGUAUGUUGGGUCGGUCGUAACUCGAGGGCCGACUGUAAAUAACAUUCGUCAUGGGGAAUUUGUACCUGUGUAUGAUAUAUCUUCUCCCAUCCACCCUCCCUCCAACCCUUCCCCUCCUUACUUACAAAAGCUUUGAUUCCAUUUUUUCCUCCUAUUCUCUGUGGUCCCUUUUCUUUCCCCUUCCCCCUCCCUCCCCUUCUCUUCUGAACAUUUUCUUCCCGUUUCCCAAUAUCUGUUACGUAUUUUAGUAGUCAUUUCCACUUUCAGUUCCUCACACCAGAGAAACAAUGGUAUGUACAUGUGGUCUGAUUUAUUUCACUAAAGAGUAUGGAUUUAAGGUGUGUUUAUUAGCUAGAAAUGUCUCAAGCUCAUCCUCCUUUAUGGCUAAGUAGUGCUCCAUUGUAUAAAAAACUGCGUCAUU